RNAcentral lists this ribosomal RNA (324 nucleotides) under uncultured bacterium. RNAcentral's name for it is "bacterial SSU rRNA". It matches the Rfam family "Bacterial small subunit ribosomal RNA", at positions 28 to 334 of the family's 1533-position model. The record is from RNAcentral.
GAUGAACGCUGGCGGCGUGCCUAACACAUGCAAGUCGAACGGACAUUUUUUGGAAAGCUCUUCGGAACUGGAAUCUAAAUGUUAGUGGCGGACGGGUGAGUAACGCGUGAGCAAUCUGCCUUUCAGAGGGGGAUAACAGCCGGAAACGGCUGCUAAUACCGCAUAAUGCAUCGGAUUCGCAUGUUUCUGAUGCCAAAGAUUUUAUCGCUGAAAGAUGAGCUCGCGUCUGAUUAGCUAGUUGGCGGGGUAACGGCCCACCAAGGCGACGAUCAGUAGCCGACCUGAGAGGGUGAUCGGCCACAUUGGAACUGAGACACGGUCCAA